GUCUUAAUAGUUUAAUUAAAACAAUAGUCUUGUAAACUAUAACUGUAAAUAUUUACUUAAGACU
Molecule: transfer RNA, 64 nt
Filed under: Halicryptus spinulosus
Lineage: Eukaryota; Metazoa; Priapulida; Priapulimorpha; Priapulimorphida; Priapulidae
Description: transfer RNA-Thr
Rfam family: tRNA
About the family: Transfer RNA (tRNA) molecules are approximately 80 nucleotides in length. Their secondary structure includes four short double-helical elements and three loops (D, anti-codon, and T loops).
Source: RNAcentral